GUAGGUGAACCUGCGGAAGGAUCAUUAUCGAAUUAUAAGCGAGGGUUGUAGCUGGCCUCCCUUUCGAGGCAUGUGCACGCCUGAGCUCUUAAAUCCACAACACACCUGUGAACCCACCGUAGGCCUUCGGGCUUAUGUAUCAUAUACUCUGAAUGUGUCAUAGAAUGUUCAUGUUGCCUUAAAACGCAAUCAAAUACAACUUUCAACAACGGAUCUCUUGGCUCUCGCAUCGAUGAAGAACGCAGCAUCU
RNAcentral lists this unclassified non-coding RNA (250 nucleotides) under plant metagenome. RNAcentral's name for it is "partial contains small subunit ribosomal RNA, internal transcribed spacer 1, and 5.8S ribosomal RNA". The stretch from base 198 to 250 matches the Rfam family "5.8S ribosomal RNA", at positions 1 to 53 of the family's 154-position model. The record is from RNAcentral.